RNAcentral lists this ribosomal RNA (253 nucleotides) under uncultured prokaryote. RNAcentral describes it as "partial 16S ribosomal RNA". It matches the Rfam family "Bacterial small subunit ribosomal RNA", at positions 524 to 776 of the family's 1533-position model. The record is from RNAcentral.
UACGGGGGGAGCAAGCGUUGUUCGGAUUUACUGGGCGUAAAGGGCGCGUAGGCGGCCAAACAAGUCAGUUGUGAAAUCUCCGGGCUUAACUCGGAAAGGUCAACUGAUACUGUUAGGCUAGAGUGCAGAAGGGGCAACUGGAAUUCUCGGUGUAGCGGUGAAAUGCGUAGAUACCGGGAAGAACACCAAAGGCGAAAGCACUUUACUGGGCCGAAACUGACACUGAUAGACGAAAGCUAGGGGAGCAAAUGGG